CAUGUACUCCCUCCGUUCGAAAUUACUUGUCUUGAAAAUGGAUGUAUCUAGAACUAAAAUACAUCUAGGUACAUCCAUUUUCGCGACAAGUAAUUCCGAACGGAGGGAGUAGCUG
This is a non-coding RNA of Triticum aestivum (bread wheat), 115 nucleotides long. NCBI's taxonomy places the organism in Eukaryota, Viridiplantae, Streptophyta, Magnoliopsida, Poales, Poaceae. The record is from Rfam.